AACAGCGAGUGACACGCGACGAAAGUUGCCUUCCGCAAGGACACUCGUAGAGGUGCUGCAUGGCUGUCGUCAGCUCGUGUCGUGAGAUGUUGGGUUAAGUCCCGCAACGAGCGCAACCCUUGUUUGCUGUUGCCAUCAGGUAAUGCUGGGCACUCUGCAAAGACUGCCGGUGAUAAACCGGAGGAAGGUGGGGAUGACGUCAAGUCAGCAUGGCCUUUAUGUCUGGGGCUACACACGUGCUACAAUGGCCGGUACAAACCGUUGCAAAACCGCAAGGUGAAGCUAAUCGGAGAAAGCCGGUCUCAGUUCGGAUAGCAGGCUGCAACUCGCCUGCUUGAAGUUGGAAUCGCUAGUAAUCGCGGAUCAGCACGCCGCGGUGAAUACGUUCCCGGGCCUUGUACACACCGCCCGUCACAUCACGAAAGCCGGUUGUACUAGAAGUCGCCCUACCAACCCGCAAGGGAGGAAGGCGCCUAAGGUAUGGUCGGUGAUUGGGGUGAAGUCGUAACAAGGUAAGCGUAGUGCU
Molecule: ribosomal RNA, 526 nt
Filed under: uncultured bacterium
Lineage: Bacteria
Description: bacterial SSU rRNA
Rfam family: Bacterial small subunit ribosomal RNA
Source: RNAcentral